This 198-nucleotide ribosomal RNA is filed under the name uncultured bacterium. Its description in RNAcentral is "partial 16S ribosomal RNA". It matches the Rfam family "Bacterial small subunit ribosomal RNA", at positions 328 to 539 of the family's 1533-position model. The record is from RNAcentral.
ACGCUCGACACCUACGGGAGGCAGCAGUGGGGAAUAUUGCACAAUGGGGGAAACCCUGAUGCAGCGACGCCGCGUGAAGGAAGAAGUAUCUCGGUAUGUAAACUUCUAUCAGCAGGGAAGAAAGUGACGGUACCUGACUAAGAAGCCCCGGCUAACUACGUUCCAGCAGCCGCGGUAAUCUGAGCGGGCUGGCAAGGC